RNAcentral lists this ribosomal RNA (369 nucleotides) under uncultured bacterium. RNAcentral's name for it is "bacterial SSU rRNA". It matches the Rfam family "Bacterial small subunit ribosomal RNA", at positions 527 to 898 of the family's 1533-position model. The record is from RNAcentral.
GGAGGGUGCAAGCGUUAUCCGGAUUCACUGGGUUUAAAGGGUGCGUAGGUGGGCAAGUAAGUCAGUGGUGAAAUCUCCGGGCUUAACCCGGAAACUGCCAUUGAUACUAUUUGUCUUGAAUACUGUGGAGGUCAGCGGAAUAUGUCAUGUAGCGGUGAAAUGCUUAGAUAUGACAUAGAACACCAAUUGCGAAGGCAGCUGGCUACACAAAUAUUGACACUGAGGCACGAAAGCGUGGGGAUCAAACAGGAUUAGAUACCCUGGUAGUCCACGCCCUAAACUAUGGAUACUCGACAUUUGCGAUAAACUGCAAGUGUCUGAGCGAAAGCAUUAAGUAUCCCACCUGGGAAGUACGACCGCAAGGUUGAA